This is a long non-coding RNA of Phragmites australis (common reed), 2171 nucleotides long. RefSeq lists it as uncharacterized. Lineage: Eukaryota; Viridiplantae; Streptophyta; Magnoliopsida; Poales; Poaceae. The record is from RefSeq and is a predicted model, not a curated record. The transcript has 2 exons.
ACGGGUGUGACAGUCCUCCACCUCACUCCGUCGCUCAACUGCUCAAGGAUGUUUCGCCCGCGCGGAGCCCAUUCCCAGGCAGACGCUCGCCACCCGUUCGACGAAGUGCUUCAACCAUGUCAUCAAGCGUCCGAGCAUGGUGGCCACUUCGAAGAUCUUCGAUGACUACCCGGCGUCGCCGCCCACGCAGCACCAACAUGACUGCAUGGCCCAGAUGCGCUUCUUCAUCCGCGCCGUCUUCGACCGCCCCAUCAUCUUCGGUCCCGAGACAGGCAAGGACAUGCGUGAGGCCCUCAGGCUCGGUGGACAGGUCGAGUCGGAGGGCGAAGCGGUGGGUACGACUUUGUUUACGCCGCAACGGUCACUGGAAGGAGGCAUCGCGGUGGAGCUUCGGCUGGCGAACCUGGUGCAGCGGGUGUUUAACCUCUUCUGCAACGUCCGAUCGGGGUCCGAUCUCUCGCAUUUCCAGCUGCAAGUGAUGUUUUAACCUGCCAAGUCGCAGCUCCAGACGUAUGGGGAAGGUAGGAACUGCGCUGUCGAGGAUCUCCUGAGUAGGUGCGGUGCGGGAAAGGACAGCCUCGAACUGUAUUUUGGUGGUGGCCUCAACUCUAAGGAGAAGUACCUCUUCUUGUGCCAGUGGAACGAGGAGGAAUCAGCUAUCCUUGUGCCAGGAGACAUCAUCGGUGUCAAGCUUGGGAACAUCAUCCCGGCCGAUGCGCGUCUCCUUGAGGUUGAUCCGCUCAAGAUUGAUCAGUCUGCACUCACUGGGGAAUCUGUGCCUAUGCCCAAAGGUCCUGGUGAUGGAGUGUACUCUGGCUCCACAUGCAAAUAGAGUGAAAUCGAGGCUGUUGUCAUCGCCACCGGUGUGCACACCUUCUUGGGAAGGGCAGCACAUCUUGCCGAUUCAACAAACCAAGUUGGCCAUUUCCUGAAGAUAUUUCGUCAAAUUUCACCAUAUUCUACAGCAAUUUCCGGACUUGCUGUUGCUUUGAGAGAUGGAUCUAUCAACCUGUCAAAAGCCUGGACUCGCCAGCUAACUAAAAAUGCUGUUGGGAAUAUACAGCUAGUCCUUGGUGCUGAAUUGAGUAUUUCUGUUGGAUGGCAAAAGAAAGAUGAAAAGAGUUCUGCAGCAGGAGAAGUUUGGAACUAAUUCUUUUGGUGCUUUUGCUCAUCACAUCCAUCGUUUCUCCUCCAAGUCUCAUGGCUGCAUUGCUAUAAGGAAGUACUUCACUACAUUGUGCUAUCCUGCUGAACAGUUCCAGAAGCAAGGACUUUGUGUUGAGGUAUAUUCAGUGAAAUAGGCGUGUUCCUACCUGAUGAGGAUAUCAACUUGAAGAGCCCUACAAGGAGAAGAUGUCGCCUCUAGGUGAUCCAAUCUCUUUUGCUCUCGUGCUGAUUUUGGUUGGUACAACAUGCAUGAUACUGCAGCGGAAGCUUGGUGGAAAUGAUUAUCUAGUGAGCUCUGUCAAUGAGGGACUGGGGACCUUUAGUGUGUCUGAGCUUGGAGAACAGAUGCCUGAGCCUUCAAUGGUCGAUGUAUGGGGCAUAACUGGCGAUUACAUGCGCACUGUGGUUGCUUUGGAAGGAAAGCCCGAAGGGUCUAAUCUUCAAAUAGCUGAAUGGCUUGCUGAACUGAUUGGAUGGUUAGCGAGUGCAUUGCUCGACUACACUCAAGGGGCGCAAGACAAGUGGCCAAGUGGGAGGUGUCCUGCAGAGGUGAUGGGAGCUUUCAGGAGUCCUGUGAGAAUUGGGAUCUAGGAGGCUCAUUUCACGGUGUCGACAGCUCAGUCCAUGGCGUCGCCAGCUCAGUUCAUGGCAUCGGCUUGAGGGCAAGCCGAGUCUCAAGAAGGAAGAAAUGUCACGGACUUGGGUCGGCUUGGGCUGCAACGAGUCGUGUGGCCCAGCUGACGGCUAUGGGCAUAAAGGCACGAGGCAUCGCCAACAAGAGGGCAUCGAAGAUAUCAGAACGGACUUCCCUUCUUCCUCCUCCGGUCUUCUUCCCUGUUCUCCUGCUAUCUUCUUCUACUCCCGGUCCCUACUGCUUCUCUGUUCCCAGUCUUCUUCUCCCUCUUCCCAAGUCUGUUUGCUCUUCCUAAUCUAAACUCCUCUUCUCCGUAUUUGUACCUGGUUUAAGUAUUGACUCAUAUGUGACUUUGAGCUCUUGAAUGGGA